Molecule: long non-coding RNA, 1367 nt
Filed under: Felis catus (domestic cat)
Lineage: Eukaryota; Metazoa; Chordata; Mammalia; Carnivora; Felidae
Description: lncRNA (ENSFCAG00000042747.2)
Source: RNAcentral
UUCAUUGUGUGGCUGGCAAGACCUAGAACCUAGAAUCUCUUUGGGUUCCAGUAUUCUCUUUGCGGAAUGGGGAUGAUAACAUCCAAAGUCCCGCCAGCCUCACUGAGAGCCUGGGAAGAUCAAAACACGCUGAAUCACAGUCUACCCGUUCGAGCUGGUAGUUAGCACAUGUUUGCGACGAUCAGGCGCCACGCUAAGUGGCUUACGUGCGCUAUCUCGUCUGACCAUCAUAAGGGCGUCAGAGGGUGCUUUACCGUGGACGGACCUCUAUUUAGGAAAACUUGGCAUCUAAAAGCCCACAGGGACAAAAUCGAUAUAUUAAGGCAACCAGUCAAUCACGGUUUGCCGAGGACUGAUAGGAUUUUAACACCAAAAGGCCCAAGGCCCGGAAACCCUUCAGUGCUAAGCACACCAGGCUUCCCUCCCUCCCCAGUGUACUUGGUGCACCUGUUUCCCCCCAGUGCUACCCUCUUCUGUAAGAUGUAACUCCAUUCAUCCUCCCGGCCUUUCCCUAAGGAGGAAGCCUCCUGAAGCAUGCAGACCAAGGGGCCAGCGAGGCGGCAUGGUGCAGAAAGAAAGCCAGGAGUCAGACUUCCUGAUUUCACACAUGACCCUGGGGCUUCUGACGUCCUCAUCUGCAAAAUGGGGACAACAUUCGCACUGAAGUCAGAAGGUUCCUGAGAGGAUUCAGUAAAUUACUCCUCAUAAAGCCUUAGAAGAGUACCUAACAGGAAGUAAGCGCCAUAUGAAUGUUAGCCAAAGGGAAAAGAAGUAUUUGUGUUACAGAAGUCUCCAAAUCUUAAAACAAGAGACUGAAUUCUAAUGCACCAAGUUUCAAGAAACAGUAAACUAAAUGAAAGGUUUGGAAGCUAGAGAGGACUAUUGUGUUUCCCUAAAAUCACAACACACAGGUUGGCAUCCCCAACACACACACACACACACACACACACACACACGGCAGUAUUCCAGGGACUGAUUUUGGAGCUCAGAUUUCGGAUUUUAACCUAGCUGUAUUACUUUAUAUCAAAACUUCAGUUUCCACAGAGAUAUUCAGUAUAUAUUUUUUUUAUUUUGAAUGUAACAAACCAAUUAAAGAAUGUUUCACAGUAGGCCCCUUUUGGGCUCCCAACCAAAGACCGCGUAUGAUCUCCGAGACCUUUUAGUUUCUGUUAUAGCUACAACUUGUAACCAUGAGGUGACCUAAUUUUAAAUUUCUCUCUGCCACCAGAACCUGAAAUGUAUCUUCUCCAGCAGGUAAACUCAGUCAACUCAUACAAUCUAACACGUUUUAGAAUAUCCUUCUCUACGGGUAAGAGGAUAAUGGGUGAGGGAGAUGCCUUCAAAUAAUAAAAAGCUCACGACUCCCA